AAUGCCGCGUGUGUGAAGAAGGCCUGCGGGUUGUAAAGCACUUUCAAUUGGGAGGAAAGCUGAUGGUUAAUACCCAUUAGUCUUGACGUUACCUUUAGAAGAAGCACCGGCUAACUCCGUGCCAGCCACGGCGGUGACUGAGCGGGCUGGCAAGGCGCAUA
RNAcentral lists this ribosomal RNA (161 nucleotides) under uncultured bacterium. RNAcentral's name for it is "partial 16S ribosomal RNA". It matches the Rfam family "Bacterial small subunit ribosomal RNA", at positions 393 to 539 of the family's 1533-position model. The record is from RNAcentral.